UACGUAGGGUGCAAGCGUUGUCCGGAAUUGUUGGGCGUAAAGCGCUCGUAGGCGGUUUGUUAAGUCGGCUGUGAAAUCCCGAGGCUCAACCUCGGGUCUGCAGUCGAUACGAGUAAACUAGAGUGUUGCAGGGGAGACUGGAAUUCCUGGUGUAGCGGUGAAAUGCGCAGAUAUCAGGAGGAACACCGGUGGCGAAGGCGGGUCUCUGGGCAACAACUGACGCUGAGGAGCGAAAGCGUGGGGAGCGAACAGG
This 253-nucleotide ribosomal RNA is filed under the name uncultured bacterium. RNAcentral's name for it is "partial 16S ribosomal RNA". It matches the Rfam family "Bacterial small subunit ribosomal RNA", at positions 524 to 776 of the family's 1533-position model. The record is from RNAcentral.